GUGUAUUGAGAUGUAGAUACUAACGUUCAACGUGAAACGGAAACAAAGGGUAGUUUGUUGUAACGAGAGUAUUUAAGAACGCGUAAAUAUCACAAUUUCAUCAAAGUUGCUUAAGCUCUGUUGAAGUUAUUUUGUUGAAAAGGAAAUUGGUUGGAAUGAAUCUUGUUGGAAAUCGUUGACCAAUCGCUAUUUGUUGAGGAAAAACUUGUACAGUUACGCUGAAAUAUGUUUAUUGGCGACUCUUCCAAAAUACUAUUCCAAAAAAUAUGCGUUGUUUGAAAUUAAGGAAAGAAUUUAAUACUAUUUCCUUUUAUUUACGAGCUAUUUUUUUAAUAUCACAAUUUCAUUAACGCUUCUCCACUUACGCUAAAGUCUGUUUAUUGGAGACUCUUCCAAAUACUAUUCUAAAGACUGUUUGAAAUAAAGCCCCAACGGAUUGUUGAAUAAAGUUUAUAUGCAUUUAAAAAAAGAUGGUGAUGAUGAUAUUGAAGAAGAAUAAGAAGAAGAAUAUGACAAUGAUAUUGAAGAAUUAGAUGAAGAGUAUGACUAUGACACUUUUUUAUUAGUAAUUUUUUGGAAAUUGAUUAAUGGAAAGAAGUUAUAUCAAAAGUCAUGUGCUGUUUUAGAUCAUAAUGUAUAUAUUUUUAGUCGUGUUGGACAUAUUGGUGGACAUAGUUGUAACUUUUAUUAUAAUCAAUAUAAACCCAGAGUUGAUAUUAACUCUAACUAUGCAAUGUAUAUAAAUAAAUAUGCUAUCAAAUAUCAAUUGUUUCAUUUUUAAA
Molecule: long non-coding RNA, 782 nt
Organism: Xenia sp. Carnegie-2017
Lineage: Eukaryota; Metazoa; Cnidaria; Anthozoa; Malacalcyonacea; Xeniidae
Exons: 3
Source: RefSeq, a predicted model, not a curated record